GAUGAACGCUAGCGGCAGGCUUAACACAUGCAAGUCGAGGGGUAUAGUAGCAAUACUAGAGACCGGCGCACGGGUGCGUAACGCGUAUGCAACCUACCUUGAACAGGGGAAUAGCCCAGAGAAAUUUGGAUUAAUGUCCCAUAGCGUAUUGAGUUGGCAUCAGCACAAUACUAAAGUCACAACGGUUCAAGAUGGGCAUGCGUCCCAUUAGUUAGUUGGUAAGGUAACGGCUUACCAAGACGAUGAUGGGUAGGGGUCCUGAGAGGGAGAUCCCCCANACUGGUACUGAGACACGGACCAGACUCCUACGGGAGGCAGCAGUGAGGAAUAUUGGUCAAUGGGCGCAAGCCUGAACCAGCCAUGCCGCGUGCAGGAUGAAGCAUCUAUGGUGUGUAAACUGCUUUUUGUACGGGAAGAAACAGCUCUUCGUGAAGAGCCUUGACGGUACCGUAAGAAUAAGGAUCGGCUAACUCCGUGCCAGCAGCCGUACGG
RNAcentral lists this ribosomal RNA (492 nucleotides) under uncultured bacterium. RNAcentral's name for it is "bacterial SSU rRNA". It matches the Rfam family "Bacterial small subunit ribosomal RNA", at positions 28 to 528 of the family's 1533-position model. The record is from RNAcentral.